AAUUGAUAAGGUUCAUUAGAACACCAAAGCCCCUAACUAUGGCCGUAGUUAAGGGCUUUUUUGACGUAUCUUAGCGAUUUAACGGGUGUUUAUAGGCUAGUCACUCGGUCUACUCCUUACUAUCUAGCCAUCUGCAGACGAAAUACAAGAUAAUUCCAGCUAUAACAUCCGCUAUAAUAGUAAGAGCGAGCUCUAUGAUAAGGCUCAUUAGUUUCACCUCCUCUCACGAACCCAUAGGAACGUAAUCGGUAACCGAUGACAAAAAUAGUAUACCACAAUACAUUUAGAUCAUCAAGGUCACUUAAUUCUUGAAAUAUAGGGUCUAGGCGACAAAGUCUUUAAAAUCAAAAAAACGCAUAAUAUCAGGUGUGCAAAAACUUGAUACUAUGCGUUUUAUUG
Molecule: small RNA, 399 nt
Filed under: Streptococcus pneumoniae
Lineage: Bacteria; Bacillati; Bacillota; Bacilli; Lactobacillales; Streptococcaceae
Description: Type I addiction module antitoxin, Fst family
Source: RNAcentral